RNAcentral lists this ribosomal RNA (283 nucleotides) under uncultured Eubacteriales bacterium. RNAcentral's name for it is "uncultured Clostridiales bacterium partial 16S ribosomal RNA". It matches the Rfam family "Bacterial small subunit ribosomal RNA", at positions 1098 to 1382 of the family's 1533-position model. The record is from RNAcentral. Lineage: Bacteria; Bacillati; Bacillota; Clostridia; Eubacteriales.
CCCUCCGCCUCUAGUUGCCAGCAUUCGGUUGGGCACUCUAGAGGGACUGCCGGAGACAAUUCGGAGGAAGGUGGGGAUGACGUCAAAUCCUCAUGGCCCUUAUGACCUGGGCUACACACGCGCUACAAUGGCCUGUACAGAGGGAAGCGAAAGAGCGAUCUGGAGCGAAUCUCACAAAACAGGUCUCAGUUCGGAUUGCAGGCUGAAACCCGCCUGCAUGAAGCCGGAAUUGCUAGUAAUCGCAGAUCAGCUACGCUGCCGGUGAACUACGUUCUCGGGCCUU